RNAcentral lists this ribosomal RNA (216 nucleotides) under uncultured bacterium. RNAcentral's name for it is "partial 16S ribosomal RNA". It matches the Rfam family "Bacterial small subunit ribosomal RNA", at positions 524 to 738 of the family's 1533-position model. The record is from RNAcentral.
UACGUAGGGCGCAAGCGUUGUCCGGAAUUAUUGGGCGUAAAGAGCUCGUAGGCGGUUUGUCGCGUCUGCUGUGAAAUCCCGAGGCUCAACCUCGGGCUUGCAGUGGGUACGGGCAGACUAGAGUGCGGUAGGGGAGACUGGAAUUCCUGGUGUAGCGGUGGAAUGCGCAGAUAUCAGGAGGAACACCGAGUGGCGAAGGCAGGUCUCCUGGGCGAU